This 239-nucleotide long non-coding RNA is filed under the name Elaeis guineensis (African oil palm). Its description in RNAcentral is "long non-coding RNA (EGUI_LNC049292)". The record is from RNAcentral. Lineage: Eukaryota; Viridiplantae; Streptophyta; Magnoliopsida; Arecales; Arecaceae.
CUCAUCCUACAGUCAUCUAGAGAGAGAUAACCACUUCUACUGAUACAAUAUUACCAGAAAAACUAACAAGAGGAGAAUCAAGUCUCCUCAACUGAUGAAAGCCAAAUCCAUUCUUACAAGGCACCAUAAAAUAAAAUAUCUGUAGAGCUUCCAUUAUCAAUUAAAAUAUGGCAUACAUCAUAGUUCAAAAAAUUCAAAGUCACUAUAACUGGAUCAUCAUAAGGAUAUUUUAUACCCCU